AUGGACUGCUGCUGCCGUGCGCGUCGCCCGGAGCUAGGGCUUGCCUUAUUCGUCCGCGUCCUCAGGAAGGGCCUAAAGACAAACCAGAUCGUCGCGAACACCUUCCUCAAGUGCCUCUGCUGUGCGAAAAGGACGGAUGAGGCUGUGAACGUGCUGCUUCAUAGGAUGUCCGAGCUCGGCUGUGUGCCAGAUGCCUUCUCAUACAACAUUGUUCUGAAGAUCUUCUGCGACAAUAGCAUGAGCCAGCGAGGGCUCGAACUUCUCCAGAUGAUGGCGAAAGAAGGAGGUGGCUGCUUCCCUGAUAUGGUGGCAUAUAACACGGUCAUCCAUGGCCUCUUUAAGGAGGGUGAAAUAGGCAAGGCAUGCAAUCUAUUCCAUGAAAUGGUGCAGCAAGGUGUUGUGCCUGGUGUGGUGACAUAUAGCUCGAUUAUUGACGCGCUGUGCAAGGCCAGAGCAAUGGACAAGGCAGAGCUAGUCCUUCGGCAGAUGGUUGCCAAUGGUGCUCAACCCAAUCAA
RNAcentral lists this ribosomal RNA (516 nucleotides) under Triticum aestivum (bread wheat). RNAcentral describes it as "partial small subunit ribosomal RNA". The record is from RNAcentral. Lineage: Eukaryota; Viridiplantae; Streptophyta; Magnoliopsida; Poales; Poaceae.